This 427-nucleotide unclassified non-coding RNA is filed under the name Euphorbia labatii. RNAcentral's name for it is "partial external transcribed spacer". Lineage: Eukaryota; Viridiplantae; Streptophyta; Magnoliopsida; Malpighiales; Euphorbiaceae. The record is from RNAcentral.
UAGCAUUCCUUCAUACCGUCCCAACCUGCAAGCAGCAAAAGGGCAAGCAUUAACAGCGAACCCAAAGCCAUUGUACAGGAGAGAUGGUCAUUCUUAUAUCGGGACAGCGAGAUCAUAGAAGAGAAUGAAUCAAUCCCUCCACUCGCAAAGCAUUCUGCAUCCGAGAGCACAAGCGACUUUCCAUGUGCCAAAGUAGCCAAAAAGGCAUACUAGGCACACGACAGCCGCUGAAUGGUUCAUCCAAUGCCACCUUUAAUUGGGGAAUAGAUGAAUAGGAUUACGCCACAAAAUUGGAUUCCGCUAACUGGGUAUACAACACAGAAACCCAUCCUUGCCCGACAUAGCAACAUGCCUUCGAGACACCACUGAGUGGCCUCAAGGUAGACAGUUCGAUGCGUGAGCAUGGAGCCUGCCAACCCCAACAGCC